Molecule: ribosomal RNA, 452 nt
Filed under: uncultured bacterium
Lineage: Bacteria
Description: bacterial SSU rRNA
Rfam family: Bacterial small subunit ribosomal RNA
Source: RNAcentral
GGUGUUGGGUUCAGUCCCGCAACGAGCGCAACCCUCGCCCUUUGUUGCCAUCGGGUAAAGCCGGGCACUCUAAGGGGACUGCCAGCGACAAGUUGGAGGAAGGAGAGGAUGACGUCAAGUCAUCAUGGCCUUUAUGCCUAGGGCCACACACGUGCAACAAUGGCCGGUACAGACGGAGGCAAUGCCGAGAGGCGGAGCAAACCCGAGAAAACCGGUCCCAGUUCGGAUUGAGGUCUGCAACUCGACCUCAUGAAGUCGGAAUCGCUAGUAAUCGCAUAUCAGAACGAUGCGGUGAAUACGUUCCCGGGCCUUGUACACACCGCCCGUCACACCACGAAAGUUUGUUGUACCCGAAGUCGGUGCCUUAACCUCGCAAGAGGAGAGAGCCGCCCAAGGUAUGGCCGAUGAUUGGGGUGAAGUCGUAACAAGGUAGCCGUAGGGGAACCUGCGGC